CCGAAACCGACCACUACAGUCCACAGAAAACCGUUGUUAAUGGACCGAUUUACCCGAGUUACCCGUUCAACCCGAACCGACACGCUACGGGCUUAUUGGGUCGGUCGGUUUGGGCCGGAUUGCAAUAUUUUGUCCAGCCCUACUAUCAAUUAGUCUUUCGGUUGCUUUAAAAUUAAGAGAGAGAGAUAAUAAUAAUAAUAAUUUACAGACCAACUUGAUGAAUUGAAAUUAGUGUAUAUCACUAUAUUUCAAUAGAAUAGAGAUCAAAUUUGAGAGAGAAUAGUAGUUUGAGCCCUUGAGGGACAAAAUAUAUUAUUUAUUAAAUAUAAAAUUUCUUAAAAUUUGUUGUGUGAAAAUAUCAAAAACGAAAUUAUUCCAGUGAUGUUUUUACCUUAAUAAAAUUGAAUAAGAUUAAUGACUAAAAAAAUAAUAAUAGAAGAAGAUUAAAACAACUAUAAACUUUAGACGGUAGGCUAAUAACAUUUUAACACUCUUUUCAACUACAUAUAUGAUAAAUUUCACCACAAUAGAAUUCUUUGAAUUGUGUGUCUCCCUUCAUUCAUCAGGACCACUAUAUAUAUAUACACAUUAUAAUCAACUGUUACAGACUGUUACAUAUCUACAAGCCUUAGGGAUUCCAGCCAUUAAUCACAACUAUAAUCAAGCUACUCCUAAAUAUAAGGUAACUGCAACACUCAGUAGCACCACAUUAAUCUGAAAUAAAUAACAAUAAUAUCACAAUAAUCCCAAUACCCCCCCUCUGGAGCAUGAAGAUCUCGAAUGCCUAACUUGCGAAGGAGGAACUCAAAUUGUGCUUUUCCCAAGGCCUUUGUAAAAAUGUCCGCUAAUUGUACUGAUGUAGGAACAUACAGUGGACAGAUAAUUCCAGCCACCACGGCAUCACGGACAAAGUGACAAUCAGCUUCAAUAUGCUUUGUUCGUUCAUGAAACACAGGAUUUUGAGCUAUAUGCAACGCUGAUUUACUAUCACAGUAUAAUUGCAUCCCUUGGGAAUGACUAACUCCCAAAUCACCAAGUAACUGCUUGAGCCAUUUUAACUCACAUGUAGUCAUCGCCAUAGAGCGAUACUCAGCCUCUGCAGAAGAACGAGAGACGGUUGGCUGUUUCUUAGUUUUCCAAGACACCGGAGAAAGAUCAAGUAACACCACCCAUCCAGUCAAAGAACGUCUCGUAAGGGGACAACUCGCCCAAUCCGAGUCACACCAUCCCUCUAGUUUCAAUUCACUAUCAGACCGAAGUAGAAUACCUUGGCCCGGGUGUUUCUUCAAGUAUCUAACAACCCUUAAGGCUGCUUCCCAAUGCUCUUCACAUGGUUUCUGCAUAAACUGAGACAAAAUAUGUACAGAAUAGGCAAGAUCUGGUCUAGUCACAGACAAGUAAAUCAACCUCCCAAUAAGUCUUCGAUAUGGUUCUGGAUCUUCAAGUGGCUUACCAGAAACCAAUGCUAGCUUAUGGUGCUGUUCCAUCGGAAAAUCUGCAGGCUUGGCGCCUAAUAAACCUGUUUCAUCAAUAAUUUCCAACGCAUAUUUUCUCUGGCAUAGAUAGAUUCCCUCGUGAUUACGAGCUACCUCCAGCCCCAAAAAAUAUUUCAAGACUCCCAGAUCCUUCAUAUGAAAGCAUACACCUAAGUAAGCUUUAAAAAUUUUCAAGGCUGCAAUAUCAUUCCCUGCUAUAAUCAAGUCAUCCACAUAAACUAGCACGUUGAUCUGUAUUUCUCCCCUAUGCAAAGUAAAGAGUGAGUAAUCUGAAUAGGAUUGAACAAAUCCAUAUCGCUUCAAUGCCGUUACCAACUUAGCAAACCAACAACGAGGAGCUUGUUUCAAACCGUACAAUGACUUUUUCAACCUGCAAACUAGAUUUGGGUCAGUGUUUUUAAAACCUGGAGGAACUUUCAUAUACACCUCCUCUUCCAAGUCACCAUGGAGAAAGGCAUUGUGUACAUCCAUUUGAUGUACUUCCCACUUUUUAAUUGCUGCCACCGCCAAGAAGGUACGAACAGUGACCAUUUUUGCCACCGGGGCAAAUGUCUCAUCAUAGUCUAUUCCCUCUAUCUGAUGGUGCCCGAAUACAACAAGUCUUGCUUUCAAUCGUUCUAUACUCCCAUCUGAGUGAUGUUUUAUUUUAUAUACCCAUUUACUUCCGAGUGCUUUCUUCCCGGGCGGCAGUUUCUCCAUAACCCAUGUCUCAUUGUCUUCCAAGGCUUGUAUCUCAUUGCGCAUUGCAUCACGCCAACCAGAAUCUUUUACGGCUUCCUUAAAAUUAUUUGGUUCUUUCCCUGCUGUCACAGCUGCAACAAAAUUUCGAUGUCUAAUAGAAAAUCGUUCACAAGAUACAAAGUAAGUAAUAGGAUAAGGAGUACCUGAGGCAUCUUCUUGGGCAGAUGAACUUUUCGAUGACUUUACUUUUCGGAUCGUAUGAGUGACAAAAUCCUUGAGUUUUAUAUUCGGAACUUUGUUUCUCAUCCCCCUUCCCAUCUCAGAUGCCACGAUUGCCUCCCUCUCAGCAACCACCUCUGGCUCUCCGGGCUCCACAUCAUCCUCCUGCAUCACCACAACAUCAGCCCCAUCAACUUCGUGUGCGGGUUCUACCUCGCCCUCUAUACCACUUACACUUAAUCCCUCAUUGGCUGCCACAUCAGCUCCAUUACAGUCUCCGUGCAACCCCCCUUGGAGCUGUGUCUGCUCAUUGUCUUGCAAGGCCAUGGAUGCACCCCCUCCUUCAAAUGAUGCAUCAUAAGUUUCAAACCCAAUAUCUUCAGUAACAUACUCAGAAUCAAUAAAAGGAGUAGAAUGAGUUGUGUCUAGUUGCACAUCAAAUGGAAAUUCAUGUUCAUAAAAUUUCACAUCUCUAGAGACAAUGUAUUCUUUGGAUUCCAAAUCAUACAAUUUCCAUCCUUUUUUCCCAUAGGGAUACCCCACAAAUAUGCACUUGCGACUUCUACUUGCAAACUUAUCCCCGUCACGUCGUUGAUUAUGGGCAUAACAUAAGCAACCAAAAAUCUUCAUGUUAUCGAAUUUAGGAACUUUACCAAAUAGUUUUUCAUAAGGUGUCUUAUAAUUCAACACACUAGACGGUGUUCGAUUAAUCAAAUAGCACGCUGUCAACACACAUUCACCCCAGAAUUGCAUUGGUAAAUGACCCUGAAAUCUAAGUGCUCGUGCCACAUUCAUUAUAUGCUGAUGUUUUCGUUCAACUCUCCCAUUUUGUUGUGGAGUACCCACACACGACGUCUCAAACACAAUUCCGUUAUUAAAAAAAUAAUCACGUAGACAAUUAAAUUCGGUGCCAUUGUCACUACGUACUUUCUUUAUUUUCUUAUCAAAUUGUCUAUCAACAAAUGCCACAAAAUUCAGAAACAUAGUCUCAAUCUCAGUCUUAUUGCAUAACAAAUAAACCCAAACAGCACGUGAAUAAUCAUUAACAAUUGUCAAGUAAUAUUGCGCCCCACACGACGAACGAGUUCGAUAAGACCCCCAUAAGUCACAAUGAACUAAUUCAAACAAACUCGCUGCAUUAUUCUCACUUAAUGGAAAACUAUCCCUAUGUUGUUUGGCACGAGGACAAACAUCACAAGGUCUAUUAUUCUUGCUCCUACUAUGCUGACUGACAUGAGGAAUGAACUUUAACACCUUUUCUGACGGAUGACCCAAACGUUUAUGCCAUAAAUCCAUUGCUGAAUCCCCUUCCACCAUCAAGGCAUGCACCUUCGGAACACCCCGAAAAAAGUAAAGUCCAUCGAUCCGUUCACCUGCUCCAAUCAACGUCCUCGUCGUCCGGUCCUGUAUUACACACAAUGCAUUAGUAAAUUGAACGAUACAAUUAGAGUCAUCGAUUAGUUGAGUAACAGAAAUUAAGUUGCAAGUUAAUUGAGGCACAAAAAGAACAUUAUUGAGCCGCAAUCCACCAUCCAAAAUCACACUGCCCUCUUGUAUAGCAGUCGCAUCUUUCCCAUUCGGCAAGCCCACCGGAGUGUUUGUAAUUCUUUUUCCGUUAAUCAGACAAGAAAAAUUUCCUGUCACAUGGUGUGAGGCACCCGUGUCAAUAAUCCAAGAAAUAUCAUUCUUACCGUGCAGGCGAUCCUUGGUUUUGGAAAUAUUCAAAGCGUCAAGAAUUUGUUGCCAUUGCGCCGGAGUAAUGCCUGAUAUACCUGCUGCCUCACUUGAGUGUGGUGGUGCAUGAGACUGUCCACUAUUACCACCAAUACUACGGCUACUUGUCGUGGCUUUGUUGGCUCGUGCAAGUGCGUUAUAGGUGCCCCUGCCACGUCCUCCAGAACGGCCUGUUGUGUCUCUCCCUGUUGUUGCUCCGCCACGACCCGAUCCACGACCACCACGAGGACGAUCUCCCCACCACUCAGGGAAUCCAUGAAUCUGAAAACAUGUGCGUUCGUCGUGUCCUUCUCUGUUGCAGUGAGUACAGAAUUUGUCAGAAUUGUCCACAAGUUUAGAUUUACCUCGUGUAUCGGGAGCAACUUUAAAAGCCAUGACAUUAUCACGGUUCUGUUGAAUUGAAUAUUCUCCUUGCCGCAACCUCUCAUCCUGUAUGACUCGCUGAUAUGCUUGAUCAAUGUUUGGUAACGGAUCUUGAGAAAGCAAAUUUGAUCGAAUUGUUGCAUAAGCCCCAUCAAGGCCCAUAAGAAAAUGAUGCAGAUAGUCUUCAGCACUGAAAUCAGUGACUUGUUUGUUGAUAUCACAGAUGCAACCUUCACAUUUGCAUGUUGGCUUUUUGACAUAAGUCACAAGUUCGUCCCAUAUACGAGACAGACGGCCAAAGUAGGCCGACACCUCUUCACCUUUGCCUUGCUUGCAUUCUCCUAGCGAUGCCUUUAAUUGACAUAUACGAGCCCCAUUCACAACGCAAAAGCGCUGCUUAAGAUGUGUCCACAAUGAUUCUGCAUCAUCAUAAUAAGAAAGAGUAGAGCGCAGUGAUGGCUCGAUAGUGUUGAGCAACCACGCUAUGAGCAUCGACUGCACUGCUUUCCAGUCCUCCAAUUUCUCAGGUGUCGUUGGUUUUGGGAUUUUCCCUUCCACAAAACCGUAUUUUCUCUUUGCUUGGAACGAGGUUCGAAUUGCCCUUGACCAUUCAUCAUAAUUCAGACCACGCAAUUGUAUUGGUGUAAUCACGUUGCCGGGAUUGUCAUUAGAGCCGAGAAAAAAAACCAAGUCCACCUUCUUCUCGCUGUUACUACUGUUGUCGUCAACUUUCUUCCCGCCAUCACCACUGUUCUCACCCAUAAUCUCUUAUGGUGCCUGAUCUGGUAUGAGAAAAAAAAAUGUGAUUAAUUUUCCCUAGGAUAUUUGCUAGCUCGUGAUACCAUGAUAAAUUUCACCACAAUAGAAUUCUUUGAAUUGUGUGUCUCCCUUCAUUCAUCAGGACCACUAUAUAUAUAUACACAUUAUAAUCAACUGUUACAGACUGUUACAUAUCUACAAGCCUUAGGGAUUCCAGCCAUUAAUCACAACUAUAAUCAAGCUACUCCUAAAUAUAAGGUAACUGCAACACUCAGUAGCACCACAUUAAUCUGAAAUAAAUAACAAUAAUAUCACAAUAAUCCCAAUAAUAUAUGAACCCUUGCCAUGCACAAGAAAAUAUUUACCCCUUAGAAUUAGGAAAAGACAAAAAAACAAUCCCAAAUUUUAACUUUCAUAAACAAUAAAAUGUCAAUAGAGUGAAAAAUUAUAUUGGACUUAACUUAUCAUGGAUAGCUUGUGAAUUUCAUAAAAUUAUUUCAUACCGGUGUUAUCAUUAUCAUUGUUUUCUAAUUCACAUAACUUUUGAAUUUUCAUUCUUGACUUAUUAACUUAUGAAGUACUUUAUUUUAAAAAAAAAAAAAAACACUUAUGAAGUAUAUCAAAAACUUCAAAUUUGCAUUUGCUUGUGUGUUAAUGUUUUUCGUGAAUACUCCUAUCCUAUAUUCUUACUUGGACAGCUCCAACUAACCUGGUUCAAUCAGAAAAGGGAAAUGAUAGAUAAAACGAGAAAAAAAAUCCCUACAAUUUUCCGAUAGUAGAAUUGUUCAACACCUUUCCUAAAUUACAUCCCAUUGCCUCCAUGAUUUUCGUCUAAUAACAAAUUUAAUUGGCUGAAACUUUUUCUUGAUCAAUUCUUGAUAAAAAAUUUCUAGAUAAAUAACAACGCUCAUCAGAAAAUUUGUAUGUAUGGGCACAUCUCUUUCAAAAGUUUGCAUGUGUAUCGCAAUAUUCGUACCCAUAAUACAUUAAAUUUAAUCGAUAUGCAUUGAACCAACGCCAAUAUUGUUAGAUUAGAUAGCAUGGUCCAAUAUAUCAACUGUGUGUGUGAGUUUUAAGUAAUAUUUGUCACCAUGUAUAAAAAAAUUAUACAUGCACCCAGUUCCAUUCUAAUUUUUUUAUUGUACCUAGAAGUAUACAUGUAUAAUCAAUUUCCUUGUGAAGUACAUCUAAUCAUGUAUCAUAAAUCGUUGAAGCCACCAAUUGCCACUUAUUAUUACAAUUUCUAACCUCACAAACUUGCAAUUCACCAUGCAGCUACAACAGGUGGUAAUAAAGCAGCUGCAAGCAGAGUCUCAUUCACUGGAUUCUCUUUUAUACUCUUAUUGGCAUCCAUGAUGUUCAAUUAGAAAAGUGGCUCUUUACCCUUCUUAAACCUCUACUUUAUUUAUUUAAUUUUUCUAUGUAAUUUCAUACAUUGAUUGGCUACUGAGCCAUUUCAGAGUGCGUUUACUUUUCCUUCUUCGAUUUUUUUUAGUGAACUCUGAUUCAAUUUGGGUUAAAAAUUCUUAUUUAGUGAAAGUGCGUUAUUCUUGUGUUGAUAAAUCUAUCUGUGGUGUUUUUGAUAGCACCGUUUAUAUAUGAUAUGAUGUGGAUUCUCGUUCUUAUCGGUGUUAUUA
This 6889-nucleotide long non-coding RNA is filed under the name Medicago truncatula (barrel medic). RNAcentral's name for it is "long non-coding RNA (MTRU_LNC002331)". The record is from RNAcentral. Lineage: Eukaryota; Viridiplantae; Streptophyta; Magnoliopsida; Fabales; Fabaceae.